CUCUUUUGCUCCUUCCACAAGGCUCUAUAUUCUGCUUCAGUAGUUGAUAGAGCAACGGUGGGUUGUUUCUUGCUGGCCGAAGAGGUGGCGCCCCCUGCCGGUGAGAAAGUGAACCCCCAGUGCUGCGACAUGAGUCUUUACAGGCAGCCCAGUCUGCAUCCGUGAAACCUUCAAAUUGAGUGAUAGGCUGGCUGUGAGUGAAACCAAUAGGAGAAUAUGCUGCGUGAGGAUUUUUGGAGUGGACGAUGCCAAAAUCAAGGGUAUCCUUGAGGUACCUGAGGAUGUGUAUGACCGCAUUCCAAUGUCGCUCCUGUGUGUUAGCCAUGAAUCUACUAACAAAACUAACUGAACAGGCAAGGUCAGGUCGAGUAUCCAUGAGAUAAAGUGAUUAGCCUACCGAAUGGCAGUAGGUCAAUUGAUCAAAUGAAAGAGAUUCAGAAUCAAGCGCCAAAGAUGAAUUUUUCAGGUAGAGGAGUAGAAGCAUGCCCACAAUCUUCGAGCUGAGCUUCAGAUAGGAUCUGCCGAGAAUAAAGCUGUUGAUGGAUCAUAAUUCCAGAUUUCAGCAUAAGAAAUUCAAACCCAAGGGACCGUUUGAUGAGUUCUAAGGUUUUCAUUUCACAUUACAAAUAGAAUUAAGCCGUAAUAACAACAAUUUUUGAGUCAAAAUUGCUUGUCAGUUGCAGGUCGUCAACAUAGAGAAGGACAACAACAAUAUCAGAGCGGUUCCGCAAAUAGUAGAGGUUAUAAUCAACAAUGCUGCGAGACCAAUUUUGAGCUAGUAUAUACAAAUUGAUUUUAGCGUACCAAGCUCUGGGGCUUAGUUUUAGCCCAUAAAUUGAGCCGUUCAAUUUGCACACUAGGUUUUCUUUCCGAGGUGAAAUGAAUUCGUCAGGUUGCUGCACACAGAUGGAUUCCUCUAGUUUUCCAUUGAGAAAUGCCCUUACUACAUCAAGAUGCACAAUGUUCCAUUCAAAACAAGCUGCCCAUGAGAUGGCUGUUUGCAGCGUAGACCAUCUCACUACAAAUGCAAAAGUUUCAGAAUAGUCAAGUCUAGGCUUAUGUUCAAAGCCCCUGGCUACUAGUCGAGUUUUAAGAUGUCGUUAGAGAGGAUGCAAGUCGAGUUUCACCAGGAGGACCCAGCAACUAGAUGAAGCUUUCCGUCCUAGGAGCAAAGGAACUAAUUUCCAAGUUUUAUUUUUAUUGAGAGAAUGUAGUUUCUGAAUAAUUGUAUCUCUCCAAUGAGGGUGCAAUGAAUAAUUGUAUCUCUCCAAUUGUAUCUCUCCAAUGAGGAGUGCAUCUUAAAAUGAUACAUUGUCUUUGAAGCUUUCCAGGAUAUCCUCAGAACAUGCUGAAGAAUUGGAAGCACUGAGAUACAAAUAAUAGUCUUUGUAUAUGGAUGGUAAUCCUAAUGUAUAAUAAGGACUGAGCUAUGGUGGUGAAACCGGAGACGAGUGGAAGUGACCCUUGAGGUGAAAUUGGUGGAGACUAGUUGUAGAAGUUGUCAGUAAGUGCAUGCGGACCUGGUGAUAAAAUAGUUGGCACAAUGUUAGUCUUGGCCUGGUCCUGAGCAAUAGAAGGUAGUAAAACUUAAGAAGGUGUUGAUUUGUGACAAAAAACCUAGUUAGUGUAGGCAUUUGUCAGAAGAAGGGAAAAGAUAAUAAAUGGCACAGGAGUGUGAAUGUUGUUUGGAUAUUUCUUAAAAAUGACACAUCUCAAUUAAUUAACAUUUUCCUUAUGAAGUUAUAAUACACAUAUGCUUUAAAAAUCUCAUCAUUGGCAAUUAUAAUAGAAAGAAUGAAUUUGAAUUUAAGCUUAGUUUGUCAUUUUUUUAGAUAUAUGGAAAAAGAUUUGUUAUCCAAUGAUAGCUAGAUGUCUAAUAUUUGGUUUUGAUUUGUAAA
Molecule: long non-coding RNA, 1898 nt
Filed under: Physcomitrium patens
Lineage: Eukaryota; Viridiplantae; Streptophyta; Bryopsida; Funariales; Funariaceae
Description: long non-coding RNA (PPAT_LNC007076)
Source: RNAcentral